This 2922-nucleotide ribosomal RNA is filed under the name Pasteurella multocida. Its description in RNAcentral is "bacterial LSU rRNA". It matches the Rfam family "Bacterial large subunit ribosomal RNA". Lineage: Bacteria; Pseudomonadati; Pseudomonadota; Gammaproteobacteria; Pasteurellales; Pasteurellaceae. The record is from RNAcentral.
GUUGUAUGGUUAAGUGACUAAGCGUACAGGGCGGAUGCCUUGGCAAUCAGAGGCGAUGAAGGACGUGCUAAUCUGCGAAAAGCUUGGAUGAGUCGAUAAGAGGCGUUUAAUCCAAGAUGUCCGAAUGGGGAAACCCAGUAGAUGAAGAAUCUACUAUCAAUAAAUGAAUACAUAGUUUAUUGAGGCGAACCGGGAGAACUGAAACAUCUAAGUACCCCGAGGAAAAGAAAUCAACCGAGAUUCUGUGAGUAGCGGCGAGCGAAAGCGGAAGAGCCAGUAAGUUUUAGCUAGCGUAUUAGAGGAAUUGGCUGGGAAGCCAAAUCAAAGAGGGUGAUAAUCCCGUACUCGAAAGUAUGGUAGUGGAACUAAGCUUACGAUAAGUAAGGCGGGACACGAGAAAUCCUGUUUGAAGAUGGGGGGACCAUCCUCCAAGGCUAAAUACUCCUGAUUGACCGAUAGUGAACCAGUACUGUGAAGGAAAGGCGAAAAGAACCCCGGUGAGGGGAGUGAAAUAGAACCUGAAACCCUGUACGUACAAGCAGUAGGAGCGAGGGCAACCUUGUGACUGCGUACCUUUUGUAUAAUGGGUCAGCGACUUAUAUUUUGUAGCGAGGUUAACUGAAUAAGGGAGCCGAAGGGAAACCGAGUCUUAACUGGGCGUUGAGUUGCAAGGUAUAGACCCGAAACCCGGUGAUCUAGCCAUGGGCAGGUUGAAGGUUGGGUAACACUAACUGGAGGACCGAACCGACUAAUGUUGAAAAAUUAGCGGAUGACUUGUGGCUGGGGGUGAAAGGCCAAUCAAACCGGGAGAUAGCUGGUUCUCCCCGAAAUCUAUUUAGGUAGAGCCUUGAGCGGACACCUUCGGGGGUAGAGCACUGUUUCGGCUAGGGGUCCAUCCCGGAUUACCAACCCGAUGCAAACUGCGAAUACCGAAGAGUGAUACUCAGGAGACACACGGCGGGUGCUAACGUUCGUCGUGGAGAGGGAAACAACCCAGACCGCCAGCUAAGGUCCCGAAGUCUAUAUUAAGUGGGAAACGAAGUGGGAAGGCUUAGACAGCUAGGAUGUUGGCUUAGAAGCAGCCAUCAUUUAAAGAAAGCGUAAUAGCUCACUAGUCGAGUCGGCCUGCGCGGAAGAUGUAACGGGGCUCAAAUAUAGCACCGAAGCUGCGGCAUCAGAAUUUAUUCUGUUGGGUAGGGGAGCGUUGUGUAAGCGGAUGAAGGUGGCUCGAGAGGGUUGCUGGACGUAUCACAAGUGCGAAUGCUGACAUAAGUAACGAUAAAACGAGUGAAAAACUCGUUCGCCGGAAGACCAAGGGUUCCUGUCCAACGUUAAUCGGGGCAGGGUGAGUCGGCCCCUAAGGCGAGGCUGAAAAGCGUAGUCGAUGGGAAACGGGUUAAUAUUCCCGUACUUGGUAAAGCUGCGAUGUGGGGACGGAGAAGGUUAGGUAAGCGGACUGUUGGAUAUGUUCGUUUAAGCAGGUAGUUGGAAAGGGUAGGCAAAUCCGCUCUUUCAUACAACAACGAGACGUGAUGACGAGGCUCUACGGAGCUGAAGUUACCGAUACCCAGCUUCCAGGAAAAGCCACUAAGCGAAAGGCUUUACUAAACCGUACUGAAAACCGACACAGGUGGUCAGGUAGAGAAUACUCAGGCGCUUGAGAGAACUCGGGUGAAGGAACUAGGCAAAAUAGCACCGUAACUUCGGGAGAAGGUGCGCUUACAGUAAUUGUAGUCCCUUGCGGAUGAAGGUGAAGUAAGUCGAAGAUACCAGCUGGCUGCAACUGUUUAUUAAAAACACAGCACUCUGCAAACACGAAAGUGGACGUAUAGGGUGUGAUGCCUGCCCGGUGCUGGAAGGUUAAUUGAUGGUGUUAUCGAAAGAGAAGCUCCUGAUCGAAGCCCCAGUAAACGGCGGCCGUAACUAUAACGGUCCUAAGGUAGCGAAAUUCCUUGUCGGGUAAGUUCCGACCUGCACGAAUGGCAUAAUGAUGGCCAGGCUGUCUCCACCCGAGACUCAGUGAAAUUGAAAUCGCCGUGAAGAUGCGGUGUACCCGCGGCUAGACGGAAAGACCCCGUGAACCUUUACUAUAGCUUGACACUGAACAUUGAAUUUUGAUGUGUAGGAUAGGUGGGAGCCUUUGAAGCAGUGACGCCAGUCAUUGUGGAGGCGACCUUGAAAUACCACCCUUUAACGUUUGAUGUUCUAACGAAGUGCCUGAAACGGGUACUCGGACAGUGUCUGGUGGGUAGUUUGACUGGGGCGGUCUCCUCCCAAAGCGUAACGGAGGAGCACGAAGGUUUGCUAAUGACGGUCGGACAUCGUCAGGUUAGUGCAAUGGUAUAAGCAAGCUUAACUGCGAGACGGACAAGUCGAGCAGGUGCGAAAGCAGGUCAUAGUGAUCCGGUGGUUCUGAAUGGAAGGGCCAUCGCUCAACGGAUAAAAGGUACUCCGGGGAUAACAGGCUGAUACCGCCCAAGAGUUCAUAUCGACGGCGGUGUUUGGCACCUCGAUGUCGGCUCAUCACAUCCUGGGGCUGAAGUAGGUCCCAAGGGUAUGGCUGUUCGCCAUUUAAAGUGGUACGCGAGCUGGGUUUAGAACGUCGUGAGACAGUUCGGUCCCUAUCUGCCGUGGGCGUUGGAUGAUUGAUUGGGGCUGCUCCUAGUACGAGAGGACCGGAGUGGACGCAUCACUGGUGUUCCAGUUGUCUCGCCAGAGGCAUUGCUGGGUAGCUAAAUGCGGAAGAGAUAAGUGCUGAAAGCAUCUAAGCACGAAACUUGCCAAGAGAUGAGUCAUCCCUGACUUUAAGUCAGUAAGGGUUGUUGUAGACUACGACGUAGAUAGGUUGGGUGUGUAAGUGUAGUGAUACAUUGAGCUAACCAAUACUAAUUGCCCGAGAGGCUUAACCAUACAACGCUCAAG